CACGUAGGGGGCGAGCGUUGUUCGGAAUUACUGGGCGUAAAGGGCAUGUAGGCGGCUCUGUAAGUCCGGCGUGGAAGCCUGCAGCUUAACUGCAGGAUUGCGCUGGAAACUGCGGGGCUUGAAUCAUGGAGAGGGAGCUAGAAUUCCAGGUGUAGGGGUGAAAUCUGUAGAGAUCUGGAAGAAUACCAGUGGCGAAGGCGAGCUCCUGGCCAAUGAUUGACGCUGAGGUGCGAAAGUGUGGGGAU
RNAcentral lists this ribosomal RNA (245 nucleotides) under uncultured bacterium. RNAcentral's name for it is "partial 16S ribosomal RNA". It matches the Rfam family "Bacterial small subunit ribosomal RNA", at positions 524 to 768 of the family's 1533-position model. The record is from RNAcentral.